GGAGGCAGCAGUGGGGAAUAUUGCACAAUGGAGGAAACUCUGAUGCAGCCAUGCCGCGUGUGUGAAGAAGGCUUUCGGGUUGUAAAGCACUUUCAGCGAGGAGGAAAGGGUAAUGUUUAAUACGCAUUAUCUGUGACGUUACUCGCAGAAGAAGCACCGGCUAACUCCGUGCCAGCAGCCGCGGUAAUACGGAGGGUGCAAGCGUUAAUCGGAAUUACUGGGCGUAAAGCGCGCGUAGGCGGUUAAUCAAGUCAGAUGUGAAAGCCCAGGGCUCAACCUUGGAACUGCAUUUGAAACUGAUUGACUAGAGUUUUGUAGAGGGUGGUAGAAUUUCAGGUGUAGCGGUGAAAUGCGUAGAGAUCUGAAGGAAUACCAGUGGCGAAGGCGGCCACCUGGACAAAGACUGACGCUGAGGCGCGAAGGCGUGGGGAGCAAACGGGAUUAGAUACCCCGGUAGUCCACGCAGUAAACGAUGUCUAUUAGAAGUUUGUGGCUAUAUGCCGUGGGUUUCAAAGCUAACGCAUUAAAUAGACCGCCUGGGGAGUACGGCCGCAAGGUUAAAACUCAAAUGAAUUGACGGGGGCCCGCACAAGCGGUGGAGCAUGUGGUUUAAUUCGAUGCAACGCGAAGAACCUUACCAUCCCUUGACAUCCAGAGAAUCACCUAGAGAUAGAUGAGUGCCUUCGGGAACUCUGAGACAGGUGCUGCAUGGCUGUCGUCAGCUCGUGUUGUGAAAUGUUGGGUUAAGUCCCGCAACGAGCGCAACCCUUAUCCUUAGUUGCCAGCACGUAAUGGUGGGAACUCUAGGGAGACUGCCGGUGAUAAACCGGAGGAAGGUGGGGACGACGUCAAGUCCUCAUGG
This 862-nucleotide ribosomal RNA is filed under the name uncultured bacterium. RNAcentral's name for it is "bacterial SSU rRNA". It matches the Rfam family "Bacterial small subunit ribosomal RNA", at positions 344 to 1198 of the family's 1533-position model. The record is from RNAcentral.